RNAcentral lists this ribosomal RNA (495 nucleotides) under uncultured bacterium. RNAcentral's name for it is "partial 16S ribosomal RNA". It matches the Rfam family "Bacterial small subunit ribosomal RNA", at positions 28 to 507 of the family's 1533-position model. The record is from RNAcentral.
GACGAACGCUGGCGGCGUGCCUAAUACAUGCAAGUAGAACGCUGAAGGUGGAGCUUGCUUCUCUGGAUGAGUUGCGAACGGGUGAGUAACGCGUAGGUAACCUGCCUGGUAGCGGGGGAUAACUAUUGGAAACGAUAGCUAAUACCGCAUAAGAGUAGAUGUUGCAUGACAUUUGCUUAAAAGGUGCAAUUGCAUCACUACCAGAUGGACCUGCGUUGUAUUAGCUAGUUGGUGAGGUAACGGCUCACCAAGGCGACGAUACAUAGCCGACCUGAGAGGGUGAUCGGCCACACUGGGACUGAGACACGGCCCAGACUCCUACGGGAGGCAGCAGUAGGGAAUCUUCGGCAAUGGACGGAAGUCUGACCGAGCAACGCCGCGUGAGUGAAGAAGGUUUUCGGAUCGUAAAGCUCUGUUGUAAGAGAAGAACGAGUGUGAGAGUGGAAAGUUCACACUGUGACGGUAUCUUACCAGAAAGGGACGGCUAACUACGUG